ACAGCAGCAGCCGCGGGAAUACGAAGGGGGCUAGCGUUGUUCGGAAUUACUGGGCGUAAAGCGCACGUAGGCGGACAUUUAAGUCAGGGGUGAAAUCCCGGGGCUCAACCCCGGAACUGCCUUUGAUACUGGGUGUCUAGAGUAUGGAAGAGGUGAGUGGAAUUCCGAGUGUAGAGGUGAAAUUCGUAGAUAUUCGGAGGAACACCAGUGGCGAAGGCGGCUCACUGGUCCAUUACUGACGCUGAGGUGCGAAAGCGUGGGGAGCAAACAGGAUUAGAUACCCCAGUAGUCCCUGUCUCUUAUAC
This 305-nucleotide ribosomal RNA is filed under the name uncultured bacterium. Its description in RNAcentral is "partial 16S ribosomal RNA". It matches the Rfam family "Bacterial small subunit ribosomal RNA", at positions 505 to 807 of the family's 1533-position model. The record is from RNAcentral.